UGUGAGGAUCUCCAGACCUCACGUCAGCUGAGGUUUGGGAACAGUAUUAACCUAGGAAUGCUUAAGCAGAAGAAGUGUGGAAAACAAGCCUGAAAAUAUUCCCCUCUGAAGGACGAGAUCUUUGAACUGCUGUGCGAGUGUGUACCAGGAAUUUCAGAUGACUCGGACAAGCUGUGGUUGAUUGACGAUUGACUAUGAGAUACACGAUUAGGCCUCAUAGCUUCCAGAGGAUGUGCCCUUCCUUUCUGACAUCAGUGUCACGACUGUGGCCAGACCGAGAUUCUCCCACGCCGAGCACAGCAUGGGCACCAUUCUCCAGGACUUCACAAAGCCCCUUCCGGCCGGAUUCAUUCUCAGCCCCCGCCAACCUCCGGGCCCUGCUGUGAGAGGGCCCUUCCCUCUCUCCUCAAGCUUGCAUCGCGCAUGCUCUGGUGAAGCAUUGGAAGUGCCGGCUUUAGAGGCUGUUCUGUGGCGUCUGUUCUCUGGACAGCACCCUGAGAGUUACUUACCUCCAGUGAAAUCUGCCGGGAGGUAAACAUCUUAAUCCAUUCACAGUCCAUGCCACCAUAUUUCAGCCUCAGCACGGGGCCAAAAAUAAUGGAGCCAGCAGGCCAUGGACCGAAACCUCUGAAAUUGUGCACCAAAACAAAUACUUCUCCUUAGCCAUCCAACGGGACGGCAGGCUCUUAGAAAACGACGGCGUCCUCAUCCACCUCAGUCACCAGAUCUGGCACCCUGUGACUUCCGGCUCCUCCCCAAACUCAAAGUGACUGCAAGAGGUUGAGUGGUGCCCAGACUGGUGGGCAGAACUGGGGCGAACAGGAACCAGGGAGAAAGAAAGCGGCGAUUUCAGCGGGAACUUUGACUCCAAGCUCGGGCUGGGCACUGCAUGGCACCUCCUGGACCUACCUGCCCUCUGCCGUCCACAUGCUCAUGGCCUUGCCCUGGGCAGUGCCCUCCCUCAGACGCAGCACG
RNAcentral lists this long non-coding RNA (975 nucleotides) under Heterocephalus glaber (naked mole-rat). RNAcentral's name for it is "lncRNA (ENSHGLG00000045081.1)". Lineage: Eukaryota; Metazoa; Chordata; Mammalia; Rodentia; Bathyergidae. The record is from RNAcentral.